This 496-nucleotide ribosomal RNA is filed under the name uncultured bacterium. RNAcentral describes it as "partial 16S ribosomal RNA". It matches the Rfam family "Bacterial small subunit ribosomal RNA", at positions 28 to 506 of the family's 1533-position model. The record is from RNAcentral.
GAUGAACGCUGGCGGCGUGCCUAAUACAUGCAAGUCGAGCGAACGGACGAGAAGCUUGCUUCUCUGAUGUUAGCGGCGGACGGGUGAGUAACACGUGGAUAACCUACCUAUAAGACUGGGAUAACUUCGGGAAACCGGAGCUAAUACCGGAUAAUAUUUUGAACCGCAUGGUUCAAAAGUGAAAGACGGUCUUGCUGUCACUUAUAGAUGGAUCCGCGCUGCAUUAGCUAGUUGGUAAGGUAACGGCUUACCAAGGCAACGAUGCAUAGCCGACCUGAGAGGGGGAUCGGCCACACUGGAACUGGGACACGGUCCAGACUCCCACGGGAGGCAGCAGGAGGGAAUUUUCCGGAAUGGGCGAAAGCCUGACGGAGCAACGCCGGGGGAGUGAUGAAGGGUUUUGGAUCGGAAAACCCCUUUUUUAGGGAAGAACAUUUGGGUAAGGAACUGGGCAAAUCUUGACGGGACCUAAACAGAAAGCCCCGGCUAACUACGG